AGCUUCUCCGAAGAGAAACAAAGCGGCGGCCACGACGGUCGACUGUCACGACGGGUGAUGGGCUCGGAGGUGAGGGGAGAGGAGAGCGGCCGCCUGAACCCCGGGCCCACAAGAGAGGUGGCAGCAUGCCCCGGGCCUCCUUGUGAUGUCAGGAGGCUGGACAGCCAAGAAAGAAGAAAAUGGACUCCCUCCUUCUGAAGACUUGCCUGGAAGCCAGCCCCGAGUGCUGGAGUGCACAGCGCCUCCAACGAGAACAGCUAAGAGGAAGUGCUGUUACCCGCCUACCUGCCCAGCUCCAGAUUGAGGCCUCUCAGUGGACCUGCUUUUCCAGUGCAUCUGAAACUCACCCUGCCUGGAUCUCACCUUGACCCCCAAGAUCCCAAAGAAACCGAGUCUUAUAUAGCCCAGGCUGGCCUUUCAAACACACUAUGUAGUCAAGAUUGACCUAAAACUGCUGUCACUGCCUAAGUGCUGGUAUCAUAGGUGUAA
This 489-nucleotide long non-coding RNA is filed under the name Mus musculus (house mouse). Its description in RNAcentral is "predicted gene 12216". Lineage: Eukaryota; Metazoa; Chordata; Mammalia; Rodentia; Muridae. The record is from RNAcentral.